Molecule: long non-coding RNA, 787 nt
Filed under: Penaeus japonicus
Lineage: Eukaryota; Metazoa; Arthropoda; Malacostraca; Decapoda; Penaeidae
Description: uncharacterized LOC122267446
Source: RNAcentral
UUUUACUCUUACACAUCUGCUGUUGACGCCUCUUUUCCCCAUUGUUGCAUCAUGGAAAGUUUGCGAAACGCUAAUGAUUCGGGACACUUCCUUAAUUCCAAACAUUUUAUGGUUUGAAUACACACACGCUCGCACAGAGAAUCGAGCAAGAAGCCGGAAACUUGCAUCAAUGAAGAGCCAGUAAUUUCAGUUGUUAACAUGAUUGCUACUUUUUUUUUCUUUUUUUUGAAGUGGUUGUUUGGGCUGUUGGGUAUUCUUGAAUAAACUUAAAUCAUGCACUCCACUAAGUUAAUUGAAAAAACAUUUGAUAUAUAUUUUAGACACAACUGAAUUAUAAUACUAUGAGUUACAAUAUAAUUAAAUACUCAUCUCAAUUGUGGUUUAGUUUAUUUAUGGUUUUAUUAAUUAUAAUUUUAUACCUGGAAUAUGACAGGCUAUCCAUAUAUGUGAACUGCCAACUUUGUUGAUAAAAUAUUAAGUGUUAAAUAGUAUUGUUAGAUCUCUCAUAGAAUUAUGAAUAUUUAUUUUUUUUUCUAUGAUAUUGUUUCAUGUAGACGUAUAUGUGUUCUAGUAUGUGGUGAAACCCACACUUGUGACUGCUUAAAAUUCAUGAUUUUUUGUCAAUUUUAUUUGCAUCUUACACUGAAAACCCUGGAAAUAAUUAUUGCAGUCAUUUUAGCACUGUUUAAAGUGUAAUGCACUAGUCCCAUUGUAAGUAGGAAUGUUCAACAGAAGACCAAAUGGACUUCUGCAAUAGAUGCCCUGCCAAUAAAGGUUGUUUGUAUAA